GUAUAUACUACACUUUAAAAACCCAGGGUGUCCCAUGUACUUUCAUACCAGUUCUUAAAAUGUAAAACUUUAUUCAACCUACCCCACCCCUUCAUUGAUUCAUUUGUUCUCCUCUUUUUUACAAUUACAAGAACUUAUCUGUUUGCUCUCUGUUCAUGUAACCGCACUGGUUAAGGUUACCGGAGUAGUAGCAUCCCAACAGAGCCUUGUUCUCAUCUUGUGUCCAUCGCCUUCUCCUUGUUGUUCCAGUAGCUCAUUUCUCAUCACAAUGCCCUGGUUCCUCAGCAUGUGACGCGGACUUUGUUAACUCGGCGACAUCAAUGGUAAUGCACUGAUGUUUAUGAGGUAGGCCAUAGAAAACAUGAACCCCCUGAUAACUUUUAAAAACAGAGCUGUUCAGAAAAAAAAGAGGACGAGCAUCAAACCAGUCUGACAGUAACUACAUGUCAACAUUGGGGAGAAAAGUUUAUAUUCUGUGUCAUUAAUUUCUAAAGUUUGUCCACAGAUCCAUAGGAAUUGCUGGAGGAGGGUGGAUUUAUGACCUAUACUGCAGCUCACCACCAGAGGGUGCUGUUCUCAGAGUGGAUUCACCCAGCGAGGAUGCAGACGGCGUCCAUUCUAUAUACACUCUACGGAUCUGAAUCACACGUGUGAAACCUUGACACCCAUCGGUUGUGUGGUCGUGACUGUGUGAGCUUUACCUGCUAAAAUAUUUUGGGUGCUUUUGCAUUUUACCGAAAUGAUUACAGUCGAUCGAGAUUUGUUUGUUCCAGAAGGCAACGUCCAAAAGAGGUGAUAGUUAGAUGCACUUGCAUGCAGAAACUGUCAUGUCGGUCGAGUUUCUCUUUUAUUUUUCAGUACAUUCAUUCAUGUUGGUUCAUGUUUUGUUUCAUGUCACUUUUCAAACCUGAUCACUAACUCUUGUUUCUGCCUUCUAGCUUUGUUCCUGUCUUGUCACACCUGCCGCCUGAUUGUGUCUCCCCACCUGUUCACCUCUUCUAUUUGACCUUGUGUGUCUCACAUGCACAGAUGCUGCUUUUGAAAGCACCGUAAAAGGAAAACAUCAAUACUUAUUUAGUUUCUUGAGGGAAGCAGAACACGCCUGCAUAUCUCCGCAAUGCUCGAUAUUAACAACGCUGAGCAAGCAAGACUCAGAGAUGGAUAAGUCCAUUUAUUUGCGCCUCUGGCUGAAAGUAUUAGCAAAGCCUUUGUAUUUCAAAAUUUGGAACUUUUAACUCCACAAGAGUGUAUAAAGUAAUUCUGUAUUCCUCUCAUUUCUCCUGCAGCCCUGCAACACAUCAGCAUCCUUAUUUCCUCCCAUACUUUCAUAGUUGCCCAGAAAUAUUGAGUGUUAGAGAUGAAUCUGAGCAGGAAGAAGUUUGAUAAAUGUUCUGUAAAGACUGUGAUGGAUUAAAGGAAGGAUGAACACCUGAAUUCAUCGGACAUGUUUCACUUUUUAAACCACAUUCUGGCUAAAGUGCCUCUCCAUUUCUACUCAGAUCUGAAAAACGAACAAGGAGACACAAAGAGAGGUUUGUGAAGUGAUUUUCUGCUCAUGUUUUUUUCUUUUUCCUUUGGUUUUAAUGUUUCAUUAAAGAAGCAAAAUUAGGAAACAGACGAACCACAUUCAGCUCUGUCUGCGCUGAAUCAUUUUUCAGAGGGUUCAGAUGUAAAUCGAUGAAUUAAACCCACUUUACGCCGUGAUUUUGCAGCCCAUUAGUAAGAUUAGAAAGACG
RNAcentral lists this long non-coding RNA (1736 nucleotides) under Xyrichtys novacula (pearly razorfish). Lineage: Eukaryota; Metazoa; Chordata; Actinopteri; Labriformes; Labridae. The record is from RNAcentral.